UACGGAGGGAGCUAGCGUUGUUCGGAAUUACUGGGCGUAAAGCGCGCGUAGGCGGCUUUGCAAGUCGGGUGUGAAAUCCCCAGGCUUAACCUGGGAACUGCAUUCGAGACUGCAUUGCUAGAGUAUGGGAGAGGGAAGUGGAAUUUCCGGUGUAGCGGUGAAAUGCGUAGAUAUCGGAAGGAACAUCAGUGGCGAAAGCGACUUCCUGGACCAAUACUGACGCUCAUGUGCGAAAGCGUGGGGAGCAAACAGG
RNAcentral lists this ribosomal RNA (253 nucleotides) under uncultured bacterium. RNAcentral's name for it is "partial 16S ribosomal RNA". It matches the Rfam family "Bacterial small subunit ribosomal RNA", at positions 524 to 776 of the family's 1533-position model. The record is from RNAcentral.